This 635-nucleotide long non-coding RNA is filed under the name Physcomitrium patens. RNAcentral's name for it is "long non-coding RNA (PPAT_LNC005478)". Lineage: Eukaryota; Viridiplantae; Streptophyta; Bryopsida; Funariales; Funariaceae. The record is from RNAcentral.
UUUUUUAGGGUUUAGGAUUUGGUUAGGAUUUGAUUUAGGAUUAGGAUUUGAUUAGGAUUUAAUUUAGAGUUAGGAUUUGAUUAGGGUUUGAUUUAGGAUUUAAGAUUAGAAUUAGGAUUUGAUUAGGAUUUGAUUUAAGAUUAGAUUUUGGUUAGUAUUUGAUUAAGAUUUGAUUUAAGAUUAGGAUUUGGUUUAGGAUUUAGGAUUUGGUUAGGAUUUGGUUAGGAUUUGAUUUAGGAUUUAGGAUUUAAUUAAGGAUUUAGAGAUUGAUUUAGGAUUUAAGAUUUGAUUAGGAUUUGAUCAGGAUUUGAUUUAGGAUUUAGAAUUUUAUUUGAGUUUGUUUAGGAUUUAAGAUUUAGUUAGUUUUUGGCCUAAAGUUUGAAUGGUCUAAUAAGAUUUCAAUUAGGGUUAAAUUAAGAUUGAAUUGAGAUAUAUUUGAAAUAUGUUUGUAAUCAUUCUAAUAUUUCUUUAAGAUUUCUUAUUGUUUCUUUGGAAUUCCUUUGAAGUUUCUCUGAAUUUGAUUAAAGUUUGUUUAGCAUUGUUAGUGUUUUAUUAGAAUUAGGAUUUUGUUGUUGCAAUUUCUAUUCCACCUUCCACAGCUAGGUGCUUGGAGCAUCCUCAAGCAAGACUUCAUG